UACAGAGGUCUCAAGCGUUGUUCGGAUUUACUGGGCGUAAAGGGCGCGUAGGCGGCCACCGCAAGUCGACUGUGAAAUCUCCGGGCUUAACUCGGAAAGGUCAGCCGAUACUGCGGGGCUAGAGUGCAGAAGGGGCAACUGGAAUUCUCGGUGUAGCGGUGAAAUGCGUAGAUAUCGAGAGGAACACCUGCGGCGAAGGCGGGUUGCUGGGCUGACACUGACGCUGAUUGUGCGAAAGCUAGGGGAGCGAACGGG
This 255-nucleotide ribosomal RNA is filed under the name uncultured bacterium. RNAcentral describes it as "partial 16S ribosomal RNA". It matches the Rfam family "Bacterial small subunit ribosomal RNA", at positions 524 to 776 of the family's 1533-position model. The record is from RNAcentral.